UGGGGAAUUUUGGACAAUGGGCGAAAGCCUGAUCCAGCAAUGCCGCGUGUGUGAAGAAGGCCUUCGGGUUGUAAAGCACUUUUGUCCGGAAAGAAAUCCUUGGCUCUAAUACAGUCGGGGGAUGACGGUACCGGAAGAAUAAGCACCGGCUAACUACGUGCCAGCAGCCGCGGUAAUACGUAGGGUGCAAGCGUUAAUCGGAAUUACUGGGCGUAAAGCGUGCGCAGGCGGUUUGCUAAGACCGAUGUGAAAUCCCCGGGCUCAACCUGGGAACUGCAUUGGUGACUGGCAGGCUAGAGUAUGGCAGAGGGGGGUAGAAUUCCACGUGUAGCAGUGAAAUGCGUAGAGAUGUGGAGGAAUACCGAUGGCGAAGGCAGCCCCCUGGGCCAAUACUGACGCUCAUGCACGAAAGCGUGGGGAGCAAACAGGAUUAGAUACCCUGGUAGUCCACGCCCUAAAACGAUGUCAACUAGUUGUUGGGGAUUCAUUUCCUUAGUAACGUAGCUAACGCGUGAAGUUAACCGCCUGGGGAGUACGGUCGCAAGAUUAAAACUCAAAGGAAUUGACGGGGUCAUAGCUGUUUCUU
This 586-nucleotide ribosomal RNA is filed under the name uncultured bacterium. Its description in RNAcentral is "partial 16S ribosomal RNA". It matches the Rfam family "Bacterial small subunit ribosomal RNA", at positions 355 to 938 of the family's 1533-position model. The record is from RNAcentral.